GGUGGCUGUGCAUGAGGACUAACUGAUGAGUGUAUGGAAUUCUGUCCAUUGAGUGGCUGUCAGGUGGUGUGAGGGCUGCCUGCUGCCUUUCCUGGGGCUCACAAAUGGAUUUUUACACAAAUGAUGUUUUCCUGAGCACAGCAAGGAGCAUUUCAGCCGGGGUGUAUCCCUGCCUGCUGCCAGCACUGCCUGAAUGGUUUGUCUACCCAAGGGAUAUCCAAGAGGUUUCUUUCUCCGUGCUGCUGGGAUUCACCCUGGAUCAUCUGGAUUGCUGAGACACCGUCUGAAAUCUCUCCAAGUACGUACCCCCACUGACCAAACCUGCCUCCUCCGGUCCGUGUGCUCCUCCAGCAGCCAGCUGCCAUGGCGAUGCAGCAGGCGGAUCCUGCUGGCUCUUAAAAAUCAGCCUAAAGAUCUCUCGAGACCAGUGAUUUUGUUGAAAAACCUUCACGGAAAGGCUUUUGCCACUCUGAAGGCAAUUAGGCACCUGCCUGUCCUGAACUGGAAAUCUGCCAAAACAGAGCUGAAAGGUGAAAUCCUUGUGCUGCAAACACAGCGCUUUCUGGAUCCCGCUUUCCAGUCCGGGGGGUGUCCGGAUCCCACCGAGGACGGACGGCGUUCAUCUCAGCUGCAGACGCAGCUGACAGGUGAGCCUUCCCUCUCGUUGGCCCUUGUAAAAGGAGACCAGGCAGAAGGGGCCGCCCGUGGUGCUGGGAGGCCAGCCCAGAGAUCAGUUUCUCCACCAGCAUCGUGGGGAGUGAGUGCAUCGGUCACAGACCGCUCCCAGUGCCUGGGUUGGAAGAGGCUGCUGUGUUUCCCUUCUUUGGAAAUAAUCCCGCUGUCCCUCUGUAAGUGCAGGGAACCUGACGAAGCACAGGGUGUUGCAGGGGUGGUGAGCUCCAUCUGGAGAGCUGUCUGCUUUGAAGUCAGAUGCUGUUUUAAACUCUGCAGGGUACUUUUGCUUAGGAAAAGCAGCAGUUGUCAGUAAAGACUGAUCUUGGUCCAGAAAUUUUUGCUGCUCCCUGACUUAUUUUCAUAUUUAUUAGUCAUUUGCAAUCUCUUUGAUGACUAAAUGCAUGUUCAGCUUGGAGAAAACUGUUGCAGUAUUUGCUGAGGUAAGUCAGGGCAGAGGAGAUGCUGACCACGCUGGCCAUGCUAACGAUGGUGCAUCUAGAUUAGUCAUUAUUAAUUGCCAUGGCAGCCCCAGCGCUGCUGAGCAGAUGCUGAGGUGACUCAUGGAGCCAGCAGGAGCCCUGGGGAGGUUGUUCUGAGCUCUCACCUAGGGGCAGUUGUUCCAUAAGGCUGCAGGUUAGAAAAUGUUGUGCCUGUGGGAGAGGGACAGCGCCAGGAGCUUCUGGGGGUUCUUCUCCUGCCUCCAAUGGCACAGGAGGAAGGGGAGGCUUCACGAAGAGUCAAUAACACAGCAGCACCAUCAUCCAGGGGGUUGCUGUCGAAGACACUCCAUCCUAACCCAACGUGUUCCUGGAGCUGCUCUGCACAGCUGUCAGCAGGUGUGGCCUGAUGGGCCCCGAAUCAGCUCCAGUGAAACACGGAUUCUGAAGAGGUUUGGACUCCAUUGGCUCGGGUGUUUGUUUGUAGAAGUCCAGACUUCAGCUGUGAAAUCCUGAUCCAGCUCUGCCCAGGACCCUGGAGUAUUUUCUGCUGCUGUUUUGUCCUGAGCCCUUUCCAGAAAGCAAAGCAGCUGCCAGAGGUCAGAGAUGAGGAACCUGGAAGGUGUGUGCCUAAAGAUGGGUGCCAGGUUUGGAUCUGCAUUCCAGCUGGACCAAAGCAGAGCUUCACCCCAUGGGAAUGUUAAUCCUGGGCCUUGGCUUAGAGCCAUCUCUGGCUUUCAUGGUUUUGGAACUGAAAAGGAGUGCCAGGCUGUCCAAGAGAAGAACAAGCCCUUAUACCCAGUGAGAACUCACAACUGGCUCCUUAGCACUGAAACCCAUCAAACUCCACCCCACUGGACUCAUUUUGAAGCUACCAGUCUCCAUGGGCUGCCAGAACACUCUGCUUCCCCCCAGCCCAGCCAGAACCCCUGAGCUGGAGCUGCCUCCUCCAUCCACUGGUGAAGGAGAAACCAAAUAGGAGAGGUUGCUCUUGGGUCUCUUUGAGGGGGACGCAGCCUUUUUAUUAGGUUCAGAUGUUGUUUUCUGCCCCGGGCUAUGCUGGAAAGUAAAGCAGAGUGUGUUAAUGCUGGCUGGAAGAACCUCUGUGGAAACAGGCUGCAAUGAAGCAGGUUCCUCCUGUGCCCGUUUCCUGGGGGAAUGGGGGAGACGGGUCAGUGUGGGAGGCACGGGCAUGGGCAGAGUCACCCCUUGCUGAGCUUCCCUUACUCUCUAAAAUCUCCCAGCAGCGAGUGUGGCUUUAGCCAGCCUCCCACUUCUCCAGGGCUCUUGGGCACCUGCUGUCCCCUGGCCAGUGGCAGCUGUCCCCAAGCCAAUGGCACCCAGAGGGAGAGCUGGUGCCCGUGCUGAGCUGACGGGUUCCUUCUGGAUCUGUUCCCUGCUGGGAGAUGUGGAGGUGGAGGACUCUCUGCGAAGGUCAAGGCUGUUCUCCAGAUGUUAUUUUUCACCAUUAGGCAGUGUUUAAACACACUGUGAUUUCCCUCCCCGUUUCUUUCGGAGCGCACGUAGAGGAGAGACCCUUGGAGGAGCGAAGUGAGUGGCAGGGGGAGGGCAAAGGAAACCUUCCCAGAAAGCGCUGAGCUGGGCUGCCCAUUAGCAGAGCCGGGCUCCAGAGGGUCCCUGCCGGCCCGUGCCAAGCCUGGAGGCCUUUGGAACACGUGGCUCAUUAACAGAGUGGCUCAGCCACGGCCAGGCUCGCUCACGGGGCUGGUGCUGCCAGAACAAGUCCCGGGGGACUCGGAAAGGGCCUCAUCUGCAGGGUUCAGGGCAGAGCUCUGCUGAGCAAAGCACCCUGAGCCUCAAAGGCUGCUCCCCCAUUCCCUGCUCCACUCCACCUUCGGUCCACUUGGAAAACGGGCUCAGACUAGAGCGGGAAGGACACUCAGCUCCUGUCCCAGAUACUGAGGAGCCUGCGUGGCGCUGGGUGCUCUCUCCUCUGGGUCAAUGUGUAUCUCAGGGUAAAGCCGGUGCUCAACCAGCCAAGGAUGCUCCAAGAGACGCUGCCAUCCCGAAAUGCCUCAUUAGCAGCUGGACUUGAAGUAAAAACCCCAGCCCUGCCCCUCCAGGACCAUCCUACUUGGCCACAGCAGGCUCAAAACAUGCUGUGCAUCGUGGCCUCUCCGAGCCGUGCUCGUCAGCAGAUAAAAUGAAUAUUCUGGAAGUGCAGGCGCUAAAAAAAAAAAAUCACUGUCGGAAGCACAGCAAAACCCAUCUGCGAGUGGAAGAGGUCAAAGAAGAAUACAAAGGCUUUUAUUUCCUGGAGGCAUUUGUCAGCAAGACAAAUGUGGGGGUUUUUUUUAAAUUUGCUGCCAUUUCCUAGCUGGCCGCCCACGCAAGCGCCAAAUGGACUUUCACUCGCAUAGCGCCGAGUGUUGGCUUGUGUCCUUUGUAAUCCAACGCUCAGGAAUCAGGCGGAGUCUGGAUCCCUGUCUGCUAUCAGUGAGUGGGGCAUAUUUAAAGGAUAUGGGCAGAUUUCAACGCUACAUCUAUAACUAGUUUAUUGCUGGUGCGCUCCUCUCUUGCCCUUAUUAUUUAUGUUGAUAAUGAUAAACGAGGGAUUGAUGAUUCUGGCUGGUUAGUGAAUAAUCAGGUUAUUUCACUGCAAGGCCCCAGGGGAAGGAAAUGUUUCUAUAGUCCUCCAUCAAAGAGAAAGCGGUUUGCACGCGCGUGUGCAUCUGUUGUUCGCUCCUGCCCUGCUCUGAGUGGGUUUUGGUGUGGUUUUGCAGCCUCCCUCUGCAGGUGUGCCUAUGCCCAGGCACUCCCAUGCUGCAUCCCAGCCCAAAAUGUUUCCCAGUCUACUCAGUCCCUCGGCACCAUCAGCAGCAGCCACGCAGUGGAGACCAACUCUCUGGAGCAGUUUGGUCUCCAGAGAAGGAGAUUUUGGUGUCCUGUGGUGGGAGGGUGCAGCCAGGAGCCCCGGGGCGGUGCAUGGAGAGCCCCAACCACAGCAGUCACCUUGGAAGGAGCCCAUUUGUAUUUCAAGGAGCUGCAAAUAUCUGCUUGGUCUCAGGAUUUGCUUGUGAGACAGGAAGAACCUUGGGGAGAUGAUCUGAAUGUUUAUGUAUAUAGAAAUGUCUAAUCACCAGGCUCAGAACAGGCUCGGGAAGGGAAUCUGGAGGUGGUUAGCUGGAGAGGAGGAUAUUUUUAUGCUAGAAAUGUGCUGUCCGCCUGUUUGUAGGGUAGGAAGGAUACGAUGAGAAUCAAAGGCUUGGCAGGAUGAGCAUUUUCAUCCUCCUAGAUGUGAACUCCCCAUCUGCCGUGGACUCCAAGGCGUGGAACUAUUUAGAUCCAAUAUCAUUAUUAGAAGCAGAAAAUAGAGCUCAUAAAACUCCCUCCUUACACCCCAAAAAAGCAAUUCCAGGACCCUUUAUCCUACUUGAGAACAAGCCAUUCCUGCAUUAAUUUCCCUGCUGUGACUGGGCUUGUUGCCAGGAGGAGCCUCAGUGCUUUGGCAGAAGAUGCACGGCCCUGGGGCAGGUCCAGUGUCACCAGAGCAGGGGAUUUGGGAGCUGAGCUGGGGAAGGGCAGUGCGGUGGCCAAGCCACGUUCCUGCCAGGCUGUGGAGUUUUGCAGGGGCUGCAUCUGCAGUGGGGAUUGCUCCCACAAGCAAUGUGAUGGAAACCAGCACUGGAUCCACAUCCCAGGGCUGGGCAGACGCUGCUGAGGGCAGCUGGCAGUGCCAGCCCUGGAAGUCACCAUCCUGCCACCAAUGCCAAGCAUCCAGAGGCCCCACGCAGCCAUCCUGGGGGCUCAACUGCUGAAGCCAAGGUGCCCCCUGAGGCACUGAACCUGCGACACAGGACACGAGGAGGUUGCAGAGCUGCGUCUAAAACAUCCCAGGUCCAGACUGUGACAUUGCCAUCUGCUGAUGGAGAGCAAAGACCCAGCCCAAGGUCUUGCACUGAUGGUUUUGCAGCAGGGGGACGUUUUUACUGCUCCAGGAUCAGGUUCUUAGCCAUGAGCUUGUCUCCCAUCCUUCAUCCCAGAAGCAGCUCAGCCGAGAUUUGUGUCCAAAAGCUUGGGAUGAGGACACGGACACUUACCCUGCAGCUGAAGCAAGCUUCUUGCAUAACAUGGCUUCGCUUCUCCUUUCCAUUCCUUAAGAGUUUUACAGCUGUUUUCAUCCAAGCCCAUUGACUUCAUCCCUAUAAAUCCAAUGAUUUUUCCAUAAGGAUUAGUGUCAGAUUCUCCCUGCAGACAUCUUGGGUCUUGGAAGACAAAGGAGCGCUCUGCUAGCGGCUGGCGGGUGAGCCUGAGGCAUUCACAGCAGUGGCUUUAAAAUGCACUUCAUGGCCAGGCAGGGUUUUAGCCCCAGAGCAGCUCAUCCACUGUGAUCUGGGAAGCCAGGACACAGGAGGGAACCCAAUAGUGCACUAGAAUGUGGACACCUGGAUAUGAAAUAAGCAUUGUGUGGCCUCUUCCAGCCCUUGAAGGCCAUGGAAAAGCUGGGAGAGGAACUAUCUAGAUCCAACACCACGGCUUCAUAGCUGGGUAGAGCAAGGUUAAGGUGAAGAGGGAACCUUUAGAGCGAAGAAAUGGUGAAACUGACAACCAGGGAAAUCCUGCAAGGUAAAACUGCCUCUGAGAGCUCCUCCUCAGCUUUCCCUGGGCAUGCAGAGCAGGGUUUGCACAUCACAGCACUGACUGACUGUGCCACAGCCACCCAUCCACGGGAGCUGAAAUCCACAGAAAGGAAUGGGCACACCAGAAAUGUUCCCUCUGGAGGGAAAAAGGGCAUUAGGCAUCAAGUAAAGGGGUAUGGAAUAGGAAGGAAACUCUGCAUACAUCAGCAUGAGGGUUUGAGCAUUUUAUUACAGUAUAUAAAUUUUGUCUCCUUAAAUUACUCUCUAUGAGUUGAACAGAAAGGGAUUAUGGUGGAGGAAGGAAUAUACAAAAAUAAAAGGAUAUCGUGAGCUACUGCAUCACCACAUAUACAACAGUAAAGUACUUUACAAGCAUUUAGAGAAUCAGACUUACAAAAAUAAAAAUAUGACACAUCCUAAUGCAUUUCCACCACUUUUAAGUUCUCUUCUUCCUUCUCUAACCUUCAGACACCUUUCAAUCCCAUCCGCAGGUCACAAUUCACAUGAUAGGAUACUUUGCUCAUUUUGAUGGCAAUUACAGUAUCUGAAAAAGAAUUAGUGCCUCCCAAGACUUAUAAAAUCCAAUGGUUAUAGAGCUUUAGGGGGGAUGUUCAGAACAGAUCAAUUUGUGAGUGAUCAGGUGAUCCUUCAGGGAGCAGACUUUAUCUGGCAAUAAAAAUCUGAAUAUCCCACAAGAAGAUCCAUCAUCCCCUAUAAAACAUUCCCCCAUCUGCACAGAGGCGCAGCUCUGCAUGCUUGAUGGAUACACACAGAGAGUGCCUCUGUGAGCCUGGGGGAUGCUGAUGCUCACAGACUUCGGCAGGACUGAAGGACUGUGACAGAGGAUGGAUCUGAUUUUGUUUCAGCUCUAAAAAAGGCAAAGAUACCUUCUGCUACAGGGGAAGAGGCAGGUUAAAACCACAAUGGCUAAAUAUCCUAGCUCACAGUGUUCACACACAGAACCAUUCACCUCCAUGUCAGACUCACGGCAGUCUUUAGUCUUCAGUUUGCUCUACAAAGUCUUUUUUGCUCAUUAGCCUUCUGGUGACCUUUCCCAUUUUUUUUAAAGACACACUCAACAUAAAUAGUAAACAGCAUUCACUUCUCUGACCAGCAGCUCACUCAAACACUGCUAUCAACACCCAAACACCAUUUCAUCAGUCCCAGAAAGUGUGCACCCAGGGUGCAAAUCUGUCUGUAUUUCACAUUGAGGAAAGUAGAGCUGGCUUAGGAAGGAAAAAAAAAAAAAAAAAAAAAAAAAGGCAAAAAAGAAAGACAAGCAGUAAACUUUUGGUCAGAACUGUUCUCUGCAGUUUGUGCAACGUAUUCCACAGCUUCUGAAAGUUCAAUAUUUGGUUAGGGUGUCAUCUUAUUGGCCCCAAAUGCAAUGACAGCAAUGCAGGCAGACCAGACAUGAGCAUGCUCUGUUGCAUUUCAGGGCGAAAGGAUCAUAGGGAUGAAGGGGAGGGAGAGCCCCAUCUUUGAGAUAGGGACUUCCCAUAUUGAAAAAAACAAUCCUCCCCCUGCCAAAAAUAGAUAAGGGCAGUGUCUGACUUUACCCAUCAGGCUGGCAGAGCUGUGGGCAACAUGCCUGCACAUCAGGAUCCUGGGGAGAAAAAGUGUAGCCACAGUCCCAGCUGUUGAAGGAAACUCAUCUUUCCAUGGUCUAAAUUUAUCAUUUGUGUCUUUGAGAAGAUACACAGGAAAAAAGAUGUGUUGGCUGAGAUCAACAACACUCCAUUUAAAAGAGAAGUACCUCCCUAGUGGGACUCAUUGUUCCUUUUAGGUGUACAAACACACUACAGGUAUGGCCCAAGGCACUUCUUGGCUGCCCAGAGCGAUUAUUCAUUGGCAGCACAAAAACACAA
Hirundo rustica (Barn swallow) is the source of this 7581-nucleotide long non-coding RNA. RefSeq lists it as uncharacterized. The transcript has 4 exons. The record is from RefSeq and is a predicted model, not a curated record. NCBI's taxonomy places the organism in Eukaryota, Metazoa, Chordata, Aves, Passeriformes, Hirundinidae.